CGCACAUUGCGCCCCUUGGUAUUCCGAGGGGCAUGCCUGUCCGAGCGUCAGUUCAACAAUCAAGCCACGCUUGGUGUUGGGCCAGCGGCCGGCCCCCAGUGGGCAGGCCCGCCCGAAACGCAUCGGCGAGGAGACCGACCCCCGGCGUCUUGAGAAUCUCACGGUUCGUACGUCGGGAGCACCGGUGGCCUCCGCCGCAACCUCUGAAUCUUUCAAGGUUGACCUCGGAUCAGGUAGGGAUACCCGCUGAACUUAA
This 256-nucleotide unclassified non-coding RNA is filed under the name Myriangiaceae sp. RNAcentral's name for it is "partial contains 5.8S ribosomal RNA, internal transcribed spacer 2, and large subunit ribosomal RNA". The record is from RNAcentral. Lineage: Eukaryota; Fungi; Ascomycota; Dothideomycetes; Myriangiales; Myriangiaceae.